RNAcentral lists this ribosomal RNA (501 nucleotides) under Alcaligenes faecalis. Its description in RNAcentral is "bacterial SSU rRNA". It matches the Rfam family "Bacterial small subunit ribosomal RNA", at positions 1 to 498 of the family's 1533-position model. Lineage: Bacteria; Pseudomonadati; Pseudomonadota; Betaproteobacteria; Burkholderiales; Alcaligenaceae. The record is from RNAcentral.
CUAGAGUUUUGAACCUGGCUCAGAUUGAACGCUAGCGGGAUGCUUUACACAUGCAAGUCGAACGGCAGCGCGAGAGAGCUUGCUCUCUUGGCGGCGAGUGGCGGACGGGUGAGUAAUAUAUCGGAACGUGCCCAGUAGCGGGGGAUAACUACUCGAAAGAGUGGCUAAUACCGCAUACGCCCUACGGGGGAAAGGGGGGGAUCGCAAGACCUCUCACUAUUGGAGCGGCCGAUAUCGGAUUAGCUAGUUGGUGGGGUAAAGGCUCACCAAGGCAACGAUCCGUAGCUGGUUUGAGAGGACGACCAGCCACACUGGGACUGAGACACGGCCCAGACUCCUACGGGAGGCAGCAGUGGGGAAUUUUGGACAAUGGGGGAAACCCUGAUCCAGCCAUCCCGCGUGUAUGAUGAAGGCCUUCGGGUUGUAAAGUACUUUUGGCAGAGAAGAAAAGGUAUCCCCUAAUACGGGAUACUGCUGACGUAUCUGCAGUAGCCGACCGCC